UGCAUUUGGGAGAGAGCUCUAUGAAGUGACGACGAGGGAUGGAGAGAGAGAAUCUGUGAGUCUCUUCUGUGCUCUGUGCUCCAGAGUUCACAAACUGUUUGAACAAUAUCACUUAUUCAAGAAGCUAGAAGACUGAUAUUAACUCGAGAGACAGAAAAGUCAACGAUUAGCUCUCAAAAUCCCUGCACAAAAUCAGAACCAGCAUGGAGAAAAAGAGUGAAACAACUUCACCACAGAAGCAGAGUGUUAAGAAUCGCUCCAAAUCCACCGAUGAGGUUCUACAAGCCAAGAAGGCUUUUCACACACCUCAGAUAUCUUUGCCUGGCCGACAAGAAUUAGAGAGAUUGAAGGAAGCAACUGAGACUACCGAAAGUGCAGAGAACGAAGAAACAUCAGUCAAGAAGGUUCAGAAUUGAAUAGAAGUCCUCAUGAUAGCUGAUCCAUUAUGUCAAGCAUUUAUUCUUUCUCUGGCUGGGCAUCCAGGAAAUCACAGUCAAUGACAUAACUGUGCCACCAGUCAGUAAGCAGCAGGAGUUCCAGCUCUUAUCAACCAAGGUUUACUUGUCAGACUGUACCUCUAACUGUGCAUGUAAAUGAACAUAGUCAUUCUUGUUAGAGCUGAGAGCAAUGAUGCUGUCAGUCUGUUAUGUAUUUAUUAAAAGUUGUGUUUUAGUGAGUGACGAAAUGAACUGUUCAACAAAUCUGAAACUAUUGUUGUAUAAGUAACACUACACGCGCUAAUGAGUGAAUGGGCAUGCAUGCUGAAACUAUGUACCCUAAACCAAUCUAUCUUUGCCCAAGCGAUGGGAGAUGUAUCCAUGAUGUUCUUCAUUUUGUAACUCAAAUGAGUAAUUUUCAGCUCUGUGUUCCCAGACAAGAUUUUCAAUUGCCAUAAGCAAUGUUUGUAACAUUGUGAUCAUUGCUCAUAAAUUUAACUUAAAUACUUAGAAAACUGUGAGCAAUAUAGGUUAGAAUAUUUGACCUAUACGUGCGUCGGAUGAGGAUCUUCUCCAGAAGCAUGGAGUCAGAAAACAUCCAUGAAGUAUCUACAGGUACAUAAAUAAACUGGUGUAAAUAAAGCCUCAUCUUAGGGUUUCAUAGCUACAUUGUGGAUUGUAUAAUUAAAAUCCAUUAUCCAAAUGUUGAAAUCCUGUGGGAUUCAAUGUUUUCCUACUUUUGUUUUACAUUUUAUCUUAGUGGUUAAUUCCAGUUAAUGAAUUUUUUUUUGUCAUUUUGUUGGUACUGUCUUCAUUCUGUUCCUGAGCUGUUGCUCCACCUGUAGAAUAAAACUAAGAAUUGGAGAAUGUCUUUUCCAAAUGUAUCUGACCAGGCCCGUCCCUCACAAGGAGAUCCCAUUCCCGUCUUACACCUGCAUCUUAAAAACAUGAUCAUCUUUCCAUGAAAGUAAAGUAAUUUUGGUGUGUUUAUCUCCUUUCUGGUGUGUAGGGGUUGUUGAAACAAUGGAAUAGUUUGGGUGACUUUCUUAUGGAGAUGGCUAUUUGUAUUUGUUUAUGUGCUGUCAAUAUUGAAUCCAGUGCACUUUAUCUAAGGAGAUGGAUAUCCACUGUUCAUGUUGAGAUUGAUGAGGGAUUGUCAAUGUUCACCUUAGGCAUUGUCGGUUGAGGGAACAGCGCCUGUAGGAAGCACUAGUUGGGAAAUGUAAGUCACAAAGACUCUAUUGCUCCAACUCUGAAGUUUGACAGAUUUGGAAAAAAAAGACUCAAAGGUGAGCCAAAAUAUUCCUCAGCGUUAUUUCAUGGUGGUGAGGAGGCGAUUAAGAAAUCAAGCUUCUGGAAUGUUCCUGGUGUGUAGAACACAAAUAAAACAGCAUGACUUCACAUGAAUGUAGUGUGUGACCCAUCAUAGUCUUGGGAGCAUGUAAUGGAAUAAGUAAUGGAAAAUCUGUAUUAAUACAAACCAUUCCUAUUAAACUUGGUAUAUUUCUUGGUAUUGUGACAAACCUUGUCCCUAAA
Long non-coding RNA from Rhincodon typus (whale shark), 1973 nucleotides. RefSeq lists it as uncharacterized. Lineage: Eukaryota; Metazoa; Chordata; Chondrichthyes; Orectolobiformes; Rhincodontidae. The record is from RefSeq and is a predicted model, not a curated record. The transcript is spliced from 5 exons.